UACAGAGGUCUCAAGCGUUGUUCGGAUUCAUUGGGCGUAAAGGGCGCGUAGGCGGCGAGGUAAGUCGGGUGUGAAAUCUCAGAGCUUAACUCUGAAACUGCACUCGAUACUGCUUUGCUAGAGGACUGGAGAGGAGAUUGGAAUUCACGGUGUAGCAGUGAAAUGCGUAGAGAUCGUGAGGAAGACCAGUGGCGAAGGCGGAUCUCUGGACAGUUCCUGA
RNAcentral lists this ribosomal RNA (220 nucleotides) under uncultured prokaryote. Its description in RNAcentral is "partial 16S ribosomal RNA". It matches the Rfam family "Bacterial small subunit ribosomal RNA", at positions 524 to 743 of the family's 1533-position model. The record is from RNAcentral.